This 253-nucleotide ribosomal RNA is filed under the name uncultured bacterium. RNAcentral's name for it is "partial 16S ribosomal RNA". It matches the Rfam family "Bacterial small subunit ribosomal RNA", at positions 524 to 776 of the family's 1533-position model. The record is from RNAcentral.
UACGUAGGGCGCAAGCGUUGUCCGGAUUUAUUGGGCGUAAAGAGCUCGUAGGCGGUCUGUCGCGUCGGAUGUGAAAACCCGGAACUCAACUCCGGGCCUGCAUUCGAUACGGGCAGACUUGAGUACUGCAGGGGAGACUGGAAUUCCUGGUGUAGCGGUGGAAUGCGCAGAUAUCAGGAGGAACACCGGUGGCGAAGGCGGGUCUCUGGGCAGAAACUGACGCUGAAGCACGAAGGCCAGGGGAGCAAACGGG